RNAcentral lists this ribosomal RNA (337 nucleotides) under uncultured Pseudomonadota bacterium. Its description in RNAcentral is "bacterial SSU rRNA". It matches the Rfam family "Bacterial small subunit ribosomal RNA", at positions 29 to 351 of the family's 1533-position model. The record is from RNAcentral. Lineage: Bacteria; Pseudomonadati; Pseudomonadota.
AACGAACGCUGGCGGCGUGCUUAACACAUGCAAGUCGAACGCGAAAGGGACUUCGGUCCUGAGUAAAGUGGCGCACGGGUGAGUAACGCGUGGAUAAUCUGCCCAAUGGUCCGGGAUAACAUUUCGAAAGGGGUGCUAAUACCGGAUAAGACCACGAGAUCUUAGGAUUUUGCGGUAAAAGGUGGGGACCUUCGGGCCUACCGCAAUUGGAUGAGUCCGCGUACCAUUAGCUAGUUGGUAGGGUAACGGCCUACCAAGGCGACGAUGGGUAGCUGGUCUGAGAGGACGAUCAGCCACACUGGAACUGGUGCACGGUCCAGACUCCUACGGGUGGCAG